This 624-nucleotide ribosomal RNA is filed under the name Ramaria amyloidea. RNAcentral's name for it is "eukaryotic LSU rRNA". It matches the Rfam family "Eukaryotic large subunit ribosomal RNA", at positions 65 to 657 of the family's 3401-position model. The record is from RNAcentral. Lineage: Eukaryota; Fungi; Basidiomycota; Agaricomycetes; Gomphales; Gomphaceae.
CCAACAGGGAUUCCCCUAGUAACGGCGAGUGAAGCGGGAAGAGCUCAAAUUUGAAAUCUGGCGGUCUACGGCCGUCCGAGUUGUAGUCUGGAGAAGCGUUUUCUACGUCGGACCGUGUACAAGUCCCUUGGAACAGGGCGUCGCAGAGGGUGAGAAUCCCGUCUUUGACACGGACUGCCGACGUUUUGCGAUGCGCUCUCGAAGAGUCGAGUUGUUUGGGAAUGCAGCUCAAAACGGGUGGUAAAUUCCAUCUAAAGCUAAAUAUUGGCGAAAGACCGAUAGCGAACAAGUACCGUGAGGGAAAGAUGAAAAGCACUUUGGAAAGAGAGUUAAACAGUACGUGAAAUUGUUGAAAGGGAAACGCUUGAAGUCAGUCACGUCUUCCGGGACUCAGCCCUUGCUUUUUUUUUUCUGCUUGGCGUAUUUCCCGGGGCGACGGGCCAGCGUCGAUUUCGAUCGUCGGAGAAAGGCUUUGGGAACGUGGCACCUUCGGGUGUGUUAUAGCCCUCGGUCGCAUGCGACGGUCGGGAUCGAGGAUCGCAGCACGCCAUUCUUUUUGGCCGGGGUUCGCCCACGUAACGUGCUUAGGAUGCUGGCGUAAUGGCUUUAAGCGACCCGUCUUGA